Molecule: non-coding RNA, 23 nt
Filed under: Cricetulus griseus (Chinese hamster)
Lineage: Eukaryota; Metazoa; Chordata; Mammalia; Rodentia; Cricetidae
Source: RNAcentral
AUGUACGACUGAGCCUUGAUUCC